Molecule: ribosomal RNA, 459 nt
Filed under: uncultured bacterium
Lineage: Bacteria
Description: bacterial SSU rRNA
Rfam family: Bacterial small subunit ribosomal RNA
Source: RNAcentral
GACGAACGCUGGCGGCGCGCCUAACACAUGCAAGUCGAACGAGCGAGAGAGAGCUUACUUUCUCGAGCGAGUGGCGAACGGGUGAGUAACGCGUGAGGAACCUGCCUCAAAGAGGGGGACAACAGUUGGAAACGACUGCUAAUACCGCAUAAGCCCACAGGUCGGCAUCGACCAGAGGGAAAAGGAGCAAUCCGCUUUGAGAUGGCCUCGCGUCCGAUUAGCUAGUUGGUGAGGUAAUGGCCCACCAAGGCGACGAUCGGUAGCCGGACUGAGAGGUUGAACGGCCACAUUGGGACUGAGACACGGCCCAGACUCCUACGGGAGGCAGCAGUGGGGAAUAUUGCACAAUGGGGGAAACCCUGAUGCAGCGACGCCGCGUGGAGGAAGAAGGUCUUCGGAUUGUAAACUCCUGUUGUUGAGGAAGAUAAUGACGGUACUCAACAAGGAAGUGACGGCUAA